This 271-nucleotide long non-coding RNA is filed under the name Bos mutus (wild yak). RNAcentral describes it as "lncRNA (ENSBMUG00000024451.1)". The record is from RNAcentral. Lineage: Eukaryota; Metazoa; Chordata; Mammalia; Artiodactyla; Bovidae.
GGACAAGUGAAAUAGGAAGGGUGACAGUGUAUGAAGCAACUGUGAAGUUUGUGGAAAGAAAUGCCCAUAUGAUUAAAAUGGAAUCAUGCAUGGUUUGAUCUGAUCUAUUUUCUUUGUGGUGUUUUGCUGCAGGUCAAAAACUAGAACAAGUUACCGUGCUUUCAAGUGAACAAGUUAUUUUCAAGGAAGGAAAGUGAGCAGCUACACUGGACUGGAAUCAGGACUUCCGCUUCAGAGGAUGGGGUGAGUAGCUAUUUGAAAUUCAUUUAUC